UCAGUCUUUAUUUAAAUUGUCGCGUUUUGUCAUGGUAUUAAAAAAAAAAAUGCGAGAAAUAAAUACUAUACCUACAUGAAGGGGCCCUUACGCAAUGGCUCAUUUUACAUUUAAUUUGAUACGGCACUGUGUUAAUAUUAUUUCGUCAUUAGAUAAUUGCGCGCAUGCGUAGGAAUUAAUUUAUAAUAUAAAAAAUGUAUUUACGUUUUUGAUAGAUCUCACAUAGAAAUGUAUUAGUCCAAUAUAUUAUUUUAAAUUAUUAGAAAUAGUUUUUGAUAUAAUAGAGCGAAGGAUGUGCGACGAUAACGUGUGCGAUGAUUGUUUAGAAACUGAUUUUAUCACGGAUUUGCAACAUAAAAAGUGUAAAGUGAUACAACUGGUACGAAGACAAAUGCAUAAGUUCGAGGAUACGCAAAUUAUGUGUAGAAAAUAUACUUACCCACACUCGAGCUUCUAAUAAUGCAGUGAUCAACUGUAGGACUACAAUUUUCACCCACUUCCAAACAAUAAUGUUUAUGAUGUGGAACUGUACUAGUAACAUCUGGAGUAAACUUUAAAGUAAGGUGCCCAGCAUAUGCACGCUUAGCACCUUCUACAAACAUUACAGUAGAUUCACUUUCUCGUUCCAGUAUGACCGAUUCUGCCACAUUACCAGGAGCUGCUCCAAUUAGUGCAACAUCACUAUCGAUUACAAGAAAUUCACCUCUAUAUGUUCCAGCAUGUAAGAAUACUAAAUGUUGAGGUGCUUCUUCUAUUGUUUGAGAAUUACUCCCGCAGCAAUUUCCUUGAGCACUUGUAUUUGCAUUACUUGAAGAAUUACUGUUGCUGCUUCUGUAUUCGUCUACAUAAUCCAAUGCCCCUUGAACCGUGUUGAAAUACGGCAAAUUUCGUCCUUUGAAUUUUAAAUCCUGGAAGCCAGGUCUGACGUGUACCCCCCUAUAUAAUUGUCUAAAGCUUUCUUUCCAUGGAUUUGGAUAAUCAGACUCAUCCGGAGAAACAAAUUCAAAUUUACAAGGUGCUGGAUUAAACAAAGAAAGUGAACACGUUCGCCGUGGUCGUUUCCUUGCUGGAAGAGUAAAACUGCCAAGGGUAGCAGCAAUACUACUGCCACCCGAGGGGGGUAAUGCAGAACUUGUGCCAGGUGCUGGAUCCGGAUGAGGUGGACUUUUACGCC
Long non-coding RNA from Vespa mandarinia (Asian giant hornet), 1174 nucleotides. RefSeq lists it as uncharacterized. Lineage: Eukaryota; Metazoa; Arthropoda; Insecta; Hymenoptera; Vespidae. The record is from RefSeq and is a predicted model, not a curated record.